GCAAGGCAGACCUUCCAUGUGGACAUGUUUUUCAAAUUGUGCUGUGGAUAGGGAUAGGGCUGUACUCUGUGGCUGGCCAUCCUGUGGUGACCUUAAUCGGCUAGCUCGGUCCUCCAGUGUUGUUGGCAGACGAGCUCGCAUGGCUGGUGCUGGGGACCAGGAUAUCACAGAAGCCACAGACUCUGGAAGUUCCCUUGGAAGACUUUGACCAGGAGCUGACAGGACCUAGAAUCACCUCGGAAGUGAGCCUUUGGGCAUGCCUGUGAUAUGGAUUAAAUUAAUUGAGGAGGGAAGACCUAUUUCAGCUUCAUUCAACACCAUUUCGUGGGCUAGGGUCCUGGA
Long non-coding RNA from Jaculus jaculus (lesser Egyptian jerboa), 342 nucleotides. RefSeq lists it as uncharacterized. The transcript has 3 exons. The record is from RefSeq and is a predicted model, not a curated record. NCBI's taxonomy places the organism in Eukaryota, Metazoa, Chordata, Mammalia, Rodentia, Dipodidae.